AUGAACGCUAGCGACAGGCCUAACACAUGCAAGUCGAGGGGCAGCACAAGGAGCAAUCUGAGGUGGCGACCGGCGCACGGGUGAGUAACACGUAUGCAACCUGCCUGUAAGCGGGGAAUAACCCGUCGAAAGACGGACUAAUACCGCAUAAUACUAAAUUACUGCAUGGUAAUUUAUUUAAACAUUUAUGGCUUACAGAUGGGCAUGCGCAUGAUUAGCUAGUUGGAGAGGUAACGGCUCCCCAAGGCAACGAUCAUUAGGGGUUCUGAGAGGAAGGUCCCCCACACUGGUACUGAGACACGGACCAGACUCCUACGGGAGGCAGCAGUGAGGAAUAUUGGUCAAUGGACGAGAGUCUGAACCAGCCAAGUCGCGUGCAGGAAGAAUGUUCCCUAUGGAUUGUAAACUGUCUUUUGCAGGGGAAUAAAGUGCAUCACGUGUGAUGUUUUGUAUGUACUCUGCGAAUAAGGAUCGGCUAACUCCGUGCCAGCCGCUGC
This 497-nucleotide ribosomal RNA is filed under the name uncultured bacterium. RNAcentral describes it as "bacterial SSU rRNA". It matches the Rfam family "Bacterial small subunit ribosomal RNA", at positions 29 to 518 of the family's 1533-position model. The record is from RNAcentral.